GUGAAAUAGACGUUUUUCGAUAUAAUUUACUACGUACAACUCCUAUGAUUAUAAAAUUCUAUUGAAGAUCCUCCUCUUUUGAACCACAAAAUGGGAAAUUAUUCGUUUUUUUACUUAUUUCAAAUGUAAAAGUAGGAAUUCAUUCAUGUAAAAUAAAUUUCUGUAACAAUCAAUGUAAAACCUGAAAAGCUUAAAACUAAGGUCAAAAAUAGGAAUAAAAUUUCGACUUGGGAAAUCGAUUGGCGUAACGCAACUAUCGAGAUCCGAUAAUACGAAGCGCAUAAGUGAAAUUUGCACGGCCUGGCGUGACUUUGCGAGCCAAGCGCGUGAAGUUGCGAUUUGCAAAUCGAAUAUCUGAAUGACGAGAGAGAUAGAGAGAGAUAGUGAGAGAGGGGGGGGGGGGAGAAAAAGCGAGGACGAAGCGCGACGACGUGCGAUUGCAACCGCACGACGCAGCUUGACCAGUGCUUUUCAGUCCAUCGCAGCGGCCGAAACGUUGCGUAAUUGCCGCAACGAAAGUCCGCACGGCGCGUGUCGUUCUCCUUCCAUUCGCGAUUCACACGCGAAUUCGAGUGAUCCUGUCCUAAAGUCUGUAGAUUCAGAGGGCUCCGAAAUGUCCUGAGAUUCAAACGAACAUUCAACAUAUUAAAUGUAAAAAUGUAAAAAAAAAAAUUCCUAAUUUUGGUUUAAUAUUUAAAGAUUCGGGGGAAUCUAUAUAAAGCGGAAUUUAGAAUUUUGCGUUUUUUGAAAAUUCAGGGUGCAAAUAUCUCAAGAUCUAAAGAGAAAUGUGUUCCCUCGUGCUUCCUCUCGCUAUUUUGAAAACAACGAGAUUGAAAGAAUAA
Long non-coding RNA from Pogonomyrmex barbatus (red harvester ant), 842 nucleotides. NCBI's taxonomy places the organism in Eukaryota, Metazoa, Arthropoda, Insecta, Hymenoptera, Formicidae. The record is from RefSeq and is a predicted model, not a curated record.